RNAcentral lists this long non-coding RNA (1169 nucleotides) under Triticum aestivum (bread wheat). RNAcentral describes it as "long non-coding RNA (TAES_LNC012109)". Lineage: Eukaryota; Viridiplantae; Streptophyta; Magnoliopsida; Poales; Poaceae. The record is from RNAcentral.
UCAGAUCAAGAAAACCACUCUCCGACUGUGCAUGCAGAUCCAUCUCAGGAGUAUUCAUGUUCAGCGAUCAUAGCACAUACUGUACAUAGCAAGUCCAAAGCACUCGACUCUAACUAGGCCAAUCACGGCAUAGGUAUUCGGUGGUACAGUAGCUUUUAUUUUUGUUACUCGAGCGGAAGAGGCUGCCAUUGCUUUACAUCAAAGGCCAUUGCUGCAUAAGGUUUGCCUCCUCAACAACUCAUCCAAAAGUCCGAACUAUGGGAGAGGGCGUUUACUGGGUUUUGAACCCUGAACCAAGAACUCUUGGUUGUAAGUUUAUGCACCUAACCAGUUCACCCAUUAGUCCAAGUUUACAAAUAUAAUUGGGUUUAAGUUAGAGAUAAAGAGAUAGAGAUAGAAUUAGUUUAAACCGCCCUCGAGGAUUCGCGCCGCCGAGGAGGAGAAGCAGCGCGCCAUGCGGGACCACGCCGCCGCCAAGGAGCGCGCCAGCGGCGAAGAGACGGAGGACCGCAACGGCGGUCACAGCCCUGCCCCUGCGGGCGGCCACGGUGAGUAAUGAGGAGCGCGCGUCCCGCCGACCCGAGCGACUGAGUGAUCCAGCAGUUAUACGUAUUCUUAUGGUGUUAACCGUGUCGUGUGUGUUUUCCGUAACUCGGGUAUUGAUGAUGUUUUCCGCUGCUGCUUGUGAUCUGUAAUCGAACGAGACAUGUGUAUAAAAUUGUUAGUACGGUACAAUUGUCAGCAGAACGAAUGGUGUUUACGAGACUGAACUAAGCGUGCUUGAUCAUGAUGAUGCAGAUUUCCGUCAGCAUGGCCAAUUUGUCUCAAUAGUACACCCUCUGUUCGUAAAUCCUAAAUAUAAGACGUUUUUCAGUUCAAAUUCCUAAAUAUAAGACAUUUUGCAGUUCAAAAACAGAGGUUGUAAAACAUAUCAGAUCAAGAAAACCACUCUCCGACUGUGCAUGCAGAUCCAUCUCAGGAGUAUUCAUGUUCAGCGAUCAUAGCACAUACUGUACAUAGCAAGUCCAAAGCACUCGACUCUAACUAGGCCAAUCACGGCAUAGGUAUUCGGUGGUACAGUAGCUUUUAUUUUUGUUACUCGAGCGGAAGAGGCUGCCAUUGCUUUACAUCAAAGGCCAUUGCUGCAUAAGGUUUGCCUCCUCAACAAC